AGAGUUUGAUCCUGGCUCAGAACGAACGCUGGCGGCGCGCCUAACACAUGCAAGUCGAACGGGCUAAAGGCGGGGAUUAGUUAGGGUGUAGAAAAGAGACUAAUCCCUCUCUUUAGUCAGUGGCGCACGGGUGAGUAACACGUAGGUAACCUACCCUCAGGAUGGGGAUACCCCCGAGAAAUCGGGCUCAAUACCGAAUAAAAUUUCAAGGUGAAAGUCCUUGAAAUCAAAGCUACGAGUAAUUGUGGCGCCUGAGGAUGGGCCUGCGGUCCUAUCAGCUAGUUGGUGAGGUAACGGCUCACCAAGGCAAAGACGGGUAGCCGGACUGAGAGGUCGGCCGGCCACACUGGAACUGAGACACGGUCCAGACUCCUACGGGAGGCAGCAGUGAGGAAUCUUGCGCAAUGGGCGAAAGCCUGACGCAGCGACGCCGCGUGGGGGAAGAAGGCCUUCGGGUUGUAAACCCCUUUCGUGAGGGAAAAAGCCCUGAGUUUAUCGAGGGGUGAUGGUACCUCAGGAAGAAGCCACGGCUAACUCUGUGCCAGCAGCCGCGGUAAGACAGAGGUGGCAAGCGUUGUUCGGAUUCACUGGGCUUAAAGCGCGUGUAGGCGUCCUGAUAAGUCAAAUGUGAAAUCCCUGGGCUUAACCCAGGAAUUGCAGUUGAAACUGUCAGGAUUGAGUCAUGCAGGGGAGGGCGGAAUUCCCGGUGUAGCGGUGAAAUGCGUAGAGAUCGGGAGGAAGGCCGGUGGCGAAGGCGGCCCUCUAGGCAAUGACUGACGCUGAGGCGCGAAAGCGUGGGGAGCAAACAGGAUUAGAUACCCUGGUAGUCCACGCCCUAAACGGUGGGUACUAGGUGUGGGUGGCAGUAGCUAUCCGUGCCGAAGGGAAACCAUUAAGUACCCCGCCUGGGGAGUACGGCCGCAAGGUUGAAACUCAAAGGAAUUGACGGGGGCCCGCACAAGCGGUGGAGCAUGUGGUUUAAUUCGACGCUACGCGAAGAACCUUACCUGGGCUUGACAUGCUGGUGGUAGGAACCUGAAAGGGUAACGAUCCCGAGUAAUCGGGAAGCCAGCACAGGUGCUGCAUGGCUGUCGUCAGCUCGUGUCGUGAGAUGUUGGGUUAAGUCCCGCAACGAGCGCAACCCUUGUCUCUAGUUGCUACGCAAGAGCACUCUAGAGAGACUGCCGGUGACAAACCGGAGGAAGGUGGGGAUGACGUCAAGUCCUCAUGGCCCUUAUGGGUAGGGCUUCACACGUCAUACAAUGGUGCAUACAGAGGGUUGCCAACCCGCGAGGGGGAGCUAAUCUCAGAAAAUGCAUCGUAGUCCGGAUCGUAGUCUGCAACUCGACUACGUGAAGCUGGAAUCGCUAGUAAUCGCGGAUCAGAAUGUCGCGGUGAAUACGUUCCCGGGUCUUGUACACACCGCCCGUCACACCAUGGGAGUGGGCUUUGCCAGAAGCCGUUAGCCUAACCGCAAGGAGGGCGACGACCACGGCAGGGUUCAUGACUGGGGUGAAGUCGUAACAAGGUAACC
This 1534-nucleotide ribosomal RNA is filed under the name uncultured Pseudomonadota bacterium. RNAcentral describes it as "uncultured proteobacterium partial 16S ribosomal RNA". It matches the Rfam family "Bacterial small subunit ribosomal RNA". Lineage: Bacteria; Pseudomonadati; Pseudomonadota. The record is from RNAcentral.